This 465-nucleotide ribosomal RNA is filed under the name Vreelandella stevensii. RNAcentral's name for it is "partial 16S ribosomal RNA". It matches the Rfam family "Bacterial small subunit ribosomal RNA", at positions 338 to 795 of the family's 1533-position model. Lineage: Bacteria; Pseudomonadati; Pseudomonadota; Gammaproteobacteria; Oceanospirillales; Halomonadaceae. The record is from RNAcentral.
CCUACGGGUGGCAGCAGUGGGGAAUAUUGGACAAUGGGCGAAAGCCUGAUCCAGCCAUGCCGCGUGUGUGAAGAAGGCCUUCGGGUUGUAAAGCACUUUCAGUGGGGAAGAAAGCCUUGGGGCUAAUACCCUCGAGGAAGGACAUCACCCACAGAAGAAGCACCGGCUAACUCCGUGCCAGCAGCCGCGGUAAUACGGAGGGUGCGAGCGUUAAUCGGAAUUACUGGGCGUAAAGCGCGCGUAGGCGGUCUGAUAAGCCGGUUGUGAAAGCCCCGGGCUCAACCUGGGAACGGCAUCCGGAACUGUCAGGCUAGAGUGCAGGAGAGGAAGGUAGAAUUCCCGGUGUAGCGGUGAAAUGCGUAGAGAUCGGGAGGAAUACCAGUGGCGAAGGCGGCCUCCUGGACUGACACUGACGCUGAGGUGCGAAAGCGUGGGUAGCAAACAGGAUUAGAUACCCGGGUAGUC